Long non-coding RNA from Terrapene triunguis (Three-toed box turtle), 859 nucleotides. RefSeq lists it as uncharacterized. Lineage: Eukaryota; Metazoa; Chordata; Testudines; Emydidae. The transcript has 5 exons. The record is from RefSeq and is a predicted model, not a curated record.
CGGAGCUGCCCGAGGGGACGCUGUCCAGUCCCCAGCCAGCACCAUGGGCCCCAGGCGGGGAGGCGCUGAGGCAGGCGGGGCGCCAUGUGGCGCCUCCGCGCCCGCCGCCUGGGGCCCCGCCGGGGCCGGGCUCUGCCUGCGGGGGGCCGAGCUGCUGGGGUCAUAGGCUCAUUCCUGUGUGGCCGGAAGGGGCCUGGGGCUCGAACCUGAGUCCCAGUUCACGUGCUGUGUAGGCGGGUACGUAGCAGCAGGGAACAGCCGGGGCCUGCGAGCGCUCUGCCUCCCCCCAACACUCUCCCGCAUGGAGCAUCCCCCAGAUCCGGGGGAUUGUUCUACUAAUAAGAUCUGCCAGGCAAGCUUGGAAUCUGGAAGUUCACAUUACUUAACUAUUGUUCAGGAAGGGGCAUCACUUCCCAUCAAAGUCUAAACUGAUUGUAGAAGAGAGAUUGGCAACUUAGCAGUGAAUUGCAAGAAGCUGUAACUUGCCGAUGUUAGGUCAUUAAAUUAUUGCUCUUGUCUUGUGAAAGGUGAACUAAGACUUUUCUGACUGCACUUGUUGACACGUGGGUAAUUGUGAAGAGUUUCUAUGUUCCAUCUGAAUUUCUUCUUUCACCUUUAACGAAGAUACUUGAAAAUUGUUUAAUUUGUUUCCUCUUUUUCAUUGAGGAGGUUAAAGUAAUCUAGUUGCUGAUGUAAUGCUUUUUAUAGUGGAAAAAGUAGUGGUGAAGGCAAGAAAUCAGUCUCAAAGCAUUUGUUUCAGCUGCAACCUGUAAAUCUUGGGAGAUUGCUUUUGGAGGCUAUUGUAAAAUCCUGUUCAUUUGUAUUGGUAAUAAACAUGAUAUGCUGCCCUUGAUUUAAA